GCAAUUGGAUUGAGAACAAUGUACAAAUGUUAUCGAUAAACAAUUGGAGGGCAAGUCUGGUGCCAGCAGCCGCGGUAAUUCCAGCUCCAAUAGCGUAUAUUAACGUUGUUGCAGUUAAAAAGCUCGUAGUUGAAUUGAAGUGAACUUGGGUUGAUGUGAUCUUCGGAUGACAUGAAUCAAAGUUGACUCUUUCCAAAGUCAAUACAUUGGUAUUCAUUUAUCUUUGUAUUGUGUUUGGUCAUUUACUGUGAGAAAAUUAGAGUGUUCAAAGCAGACGUUUGUUUGAAUACAUUAGCAUGGAAUAAUCAUAUAUGGCUUUCAUGUUGAUUUGAUUGGUUUGAAUAUGGAAGCAAGAUUAAAAGGGACAGUUGGGGGUAUUCAUAUUCAAUAGUCAGAGGUGAAAUUCUGGGAUUUAUGGAAGAUGAACAAGUGCGAAAGCAUUUACCAAGGAUGUUUUCAUUAAUCAAGAACGAAAGUUAGGGGAUCGAAGAGGAUUAGAUACCCUCGUAGUCUUAACUAUAAACGAUACCGACUAGGGGUUAGUAAUGGUCAUUGUGUGUUUACUAGUACCUUAUGAGAAAUCAAAGUCUUUGGGUUCCGGGGGGAGUAUGGUCGCAAGGCUGAAACUUAAAGGAAUUGACGGAAGGGCACCACCAGGA
RNAcentral lists this ribosomal RNA (659 nucleotides) under Blastocystis hominis. Its description in RNAcentral is "SSU rRNA". It matches the Rfam family "Eukaryotic small subunit ribosomal RNA", at positions 505 to 1175 of the family's 1831-position model. Lineage: Eukaryota; Bigyra; Opalinata; Blastocystidae. The record is from RNAcentral.